RNAcentral lists this ribosomal RNA (252 nucleotides) under uncultured bacterium. RNAcentral's name for it is "partial 16S ribosomal RNA". It matches the Rfam family "Bacterial small subunit ribosomal RNA", at positions 524 to 776 of the family's 1533-position model. The record is from RNAcentral.
UACGUAGGAUGCGAGCGUUAUCCGGAUUUAUUGGGUUUAAAGGGUGCGUAGGCGGACUGUCAAGUCAGCGGUAAAGUUGAGAGGCUCAACCUCUUCCCGCCGUUGAAACUGGUGGUCUUGAGUGGAUGAGAAGUACGCGGAAUGCGUGGUGUAGCGGUGAAAUGCAUAGAUAUCACGCAGAACUCCGAUUGCGAAGGCAGCGUACCGGCAUCCAACUGACGCUGAGGCACGAAAGCGUGGGGAUCAAACAGG